This 120-nucleotide ribosomal RNA is filed under the name Castor canadensis (American beaver). Lineage: Eukaryota; Metazoa; Chordata; Mammalia; Rodentia; Castoridae. The record is from RNAcentral.
GUCUGUGGGCAUUUUACACUGAACUGACCUGAUCUCCUCUGAUCUCAGAGUCUAAGCAGGGUCAGGCAUGGUUAGUACUGGGAGAAACUUGACAAAGAGUGAGGAUCCUAAACUCAGUCC